This 2347-nucleotide ribosomal RNA is filed under the name Pleustes panoplus. RNAcentral describes it as "18S ribosomal RNA". It matches the Rfam family "Eukaryotic small subunit ribosomal RNA". The record is from RNAcentral. Lineage: Eukaryota; Metazoa; Arthropoda; Malacostraca; Amphipoda; Pleustidae.
CCUAUCUGGUUGAUCCUGCCAGUAGUCAUAUGCUUGUUUCAAAGACUAAGCCAUGCAUGUCUAAGUCCAAGCUGUGUGUUGGGUGCAAGCUCACACACGGCGAAACCGCGGACGGCUCAUUAAAUCAGUCGUGGUCCAAAUGGGCUAGAGUUAUCUUACUUGGAUAACUGUGGUAAUUCCAGAGCUAAUACAUGCAACUGAAGUUUCGAUCGGCGUAUUUCGGUACAACGUGACGGACGCUUUUAUUAGACCAAACCGCUGAGAGAGUGUUAUGCUCUCGUAGACUCGUGUUAUGGUGACUCUGGAUAACACAUCACUUGACAAGCGCACGUAUCCAUUAGUUUGGGACGGCGCUGCCUCUUUCGAGUGUCUGCCUUAUCAGCUAUGUAUCGUUCGUUAUGUGCGACCGAUGGCUUUGACGGGUAACGGGGAAUCAGGGUUCGAUUCCGGAGAGGCAGCCUGAGAAACGGCUACCACGUCCAAGGACGGCAGCAGGCACGCAAAUUACCCAAUCCCAGCACUGGGGGGAGGUAGUGACGAAAUCUAACGAUGCGGGCGUCCCUUCUGGGGCCCCGCAAUCGGAAUGAGCGCUUUCUUUCUAAACACCCCGUUGAGAACCUACUGAAGGGCAAGUCUGGUGCCAGCAGCCGCGGUAAUUCCAGCUUCAGCAGCAUCUACUAAAGUUGCUGCGGUUAAAAGGCUCGCAGUUGAAUGUCAGUAUCAAGUACAGCGAUGGUGGACGUUGGGGUGUGGGAGUGUUCGGGCGUGCGUUUUCGAGAAGCCUCACGGUCUAUCGUGCGUGCGUUCGCCUCCCCAUUUAGCUCCCGUCCGUAACAAGCCUCCUUACUUGCGUACAAAGUGGAUCAAUCGGAACAUAUAUGUCUGGGCCACGUGUGUGUGUCACCCGCAAGGGUAUCGCGCGUGUAACCCGGGCAGUGAAAGUCGUGGGUCGAUUGUCACCUUGAGUAAAUCAGAGUGCUCAAAGCAGUCGUAAAGAACGUGCAGCUCCGCUGUACGCUCUGUGAGAAAUGUCAUUAUUGACAGACAGUCUUGAUUUUGCAUGGUAUGUCGGAAGACGCCGUACUUCCUGUUGGUAACGAGUCUGGUGCGGGCUUGCACACGAUCGCGCUUGCGUGUGACAGUGCAACAUCACGAGACCAACAGGUGCGGAAUGAUUAACAGGCACGGUCGAGGGCAUUGGUAUUGCGAGGCGAGAGGUGAAAUUCUAUGACCCCCGCAAGACCUCCUGAAGCGAAAGCGUCUGCCAAGGACGUUUUCAUUAAUCAUGAACGAAAGUUAGAGGAUCGAAGGCGAUCAGAUACCGCCCUAGUUCUAACCCUAAACGAUGCCAACCAUCAAUCCGCGCGUAGCACCCUUUCUAACGGGCUCGGCGGGCAGCUCCCCACUCACGGGAAACCAGAGUCUCUGGGUUCCGGGGGGAGUCUGGUUGCAAAGCUGAAACUUAAAGGAAUUGACGGAAAGGCACCACCAGGCGUGGRCUGCGGCUUAAUUUGACUCAACACGGGCCAUCUCACCAGGCCAGCACUCUUCUACGAUUGACAGAUUGAGAGUUCUUUCUCGAUUCAGUGGAUGGUGGUGCAUGGCCGUUCUUAGUUGGUGGAGUGAUCUGUCUGGUUAAUUCCGAUAACGAACGAGACUCUCCCCUGCUAACUAGUCGGGUUGGAUCUUGUGUCUGGAGAGUUGUGUGGCUUGUGCUCGUACGGUCGCCGCACGGCGCGCAUGUGUUCGCACACGUCGCGUUCGGGUAGCUUCCUACUUGUGCUCGUUCGCACACUCCAAGUCCGCCGCUUACUCGUGUGCGAGGUGUAACAGCCGAGUCGCGGAUAAAACUCUUCUUAGAGGGAUUCACGGUUCUGAAGCCGUAAGAAACUGAGAGCAAUAACAGGUCUGUGAUGCCCUUAGAUGUUCUGGGCCGCACGCGCGCUACAAUGCCGGGUUCAGCAGGUGUCUAUCCUUCUCCGACAGGAGUGGGUAACCCUGUGAAAGCCCUCUCUCUCUUAUUAUCAAAGGUCGUCAUGUUCGUUCACUCGGGCGUGUCACCUCCAUGGCUUGCUUGGGCCUGGGGCUUGCAAUUCUUUCCCACCAACGAGGAAUGCCUAGUAGCGGCGGGUCACUGAGCCCGCCGUGACUCAGUCCCUGCCCUUUGUACACACCGCCCGUCGCUACUACCGAUUGGGUGUACCAGUGAGAUCCUUGGACUGGCGAACCUUGUGCACUAGCGAUAGAGCACAAGUGUGAACGACGGGAAGAGGCUCGAACUGGUGCACUUAGAGGAAGUAAAAGUCGUAACAAGGUUUCCGUAGUUGAACCUGCGGAAGGAUCAUUA